Molecule: transfer RNA, 93 nt
Filed under: Kitasatospora aureofaciens
Lineage: Bacteria; Bacillati; Actinomycetota; Actinomycetes; Kitasatosporales; Streptomycetaceae
Description: tRNA-Pro
Source: RNAcentral
GGCCGACCGGGACGCGGUGUCGGUCGGCGUACUCGGGGUAGGCCUGGCUGAACCGCAUGACGAAGUACGGGCGUUCGGGGCGCGGGCCGACCA